GAGUUUGAUCGUGGCUCAGAUUGAACGCUGGCGGCAUGCCUUACACAUGCAAGUCGAACGGCAGCAUGAUCUAGCUUGCUAGAUUGAUGGCGAGUGGCGAACGGGUGAGUAAUACAUCGGAACGUGCCCUGUAGUGGGGAGUAACUAGUCGAAAGAUUAGCUAAUACCGCAUACGACCUGAGGGUGGAAAGUGGGGGACCGGCAUGGCCUCAUGCUAUAGGAGCGGCCGAUGUCUGAUUAGCUAGUUGGUGGGGUAAAGGGCCCACCAAGGCGACGAUCAGUAGCUGGUCUGAGAGGACGAUCAGCCACACUGGGACUGAGACACGGCCCAGACUCCUA
Molecule: ribosomal RNA, 339 nt
Filed under: uncultured microorganism
Description: bacterial SSU rRNA
Rfam family: Bacterial small subunit ribosomal RNA
Source: RNAcentral